Corythoichthys intestinalis (scribbled pipefish) is the source of this 2118-nucleotide RNA transcript. It is a transcript of the gene named acyl-CoA synthetase family member 2, with no coding region annotated. The transcript has 13 exons. Lineage: Eukaryota; Metazoa; Chordata; Actinopteri; Syngnathiformes; Syngnathidae. The record is from RefSeq and is a predicted model, not a curated record.
GUCGUCGUUCUUCUUCCUACUUCGUCGCAGCAGCGAAUCAACAUGAUCUCCAACGUGGCCUCCAGAAGGUUCCUCCUGCCCGCGCUCCGUCGUGUGCGCGCCCGGGUGACCUGUCGUGACAUCCACGUGGACGGGCCGCCGAUCGCUCCCGCGCUGACCACCAGCUACGCCCACGGCACGUCUUCCUUCUCGCUCCUGGACGCCACCGUGGGCGAGGCGCUGACGCGGGCGGCCGACGCCUGGCCCGACAGGGAGGCCGCCGUCUUCGCGGAGGACGGCGUGAGGAAGACCUUCGCCGACUUUCACCGAGACGCGGAGCGGGCCGCCGCCGGCCUGCUGGCGCUGGGCCUGCGGCCGGGCGAGCGCCUGGGCAUCUGGGGGCCCAACACCUACGAGUGGCUCCUGUUCCAGUUCGCCACGGCCAAGGCGGGCAUCAUCAUGGUCUCCGUCAACCCCGCCUAUCGUCCGGAGGAGGCGGAGUUUGCGCUCAGGAAGGUGGGCUGUAAAGCAUUGGUGUGUCCCACGGCCUUCAAGAGCCAAAAUUACUGCGACAUGCUGCGCCUCAUCUGUCCGGAAAUUCCUUCCUGCCCGCCCGGAGACAUCCGCAGCGGCCGACUUCCCGACCUGCGCUCGGUCAUCGUCCUGGACAGCCGGCAGGACGGGAUGUUCCACGCGGACGACGUGAUGGCGGCGGGCGACGGCCGCUCCUUGCGCCGACUGCACGAGCUACAAAAGAGCAUUUGCUGCGACGGUCCCAUCAACGUCCUCUUUACGUCGGGAACGACGGGUCGGCCCAAAGGCGCCACGCUGACUCAUCGCAACGUGGUCAACAACGCCUUCUUCGUGGGCAAGCGCAUGGGAUUCGACUGGCGGCCCCGCACGCGAAUCUGCCUCCCCGUGCCGCUCUACCACUGCUUCGGCUCGGUGGGCGGCGGCGUCUGCAUGGCCGUCCACGGCGUCACGCUGGUCUUCCCUUCGCCGGCGUACAGCGGGCGGCGCAACCUGGCCGCCAUGCAGGACGAGAAGUGCACCUUUGUGUACGGGACGCCCACCAUGUUCGUGGACAUGAUCAGCCAGCCCGACGUGCGCAAGUACGAUCUUUCGUCCGUUGUCGGAGGUGAGGACGUACGGACCGAAGGGAUUCCGCCGCUUUUGCCGCAGCUCGUCGGCUUUUGGAAAUGGCCAACGAGUCGCUUUCCGUGUUUGCGCAGGCGUCAUGGCGGGCUCGCCGUGUCCUCCCGAGCUGGUUCAGAGCGUCAUUUCCGUCUUGGGCAUCCAGGAAGUGACGAUCGGAUACGGAACCACGGAGAACAGUCCCGUCACCUUUUGCGGCUCGCCGCUGGACAACCUCCGCAGAAAGUGCCGCACGGUCGGCUACGUCAUGGAACACACCGAGGCCAAGAUCGUGGACCCGGCGAGCGGGCGGACGGUUCCGUUGGGUCGUUCGGGCGAGAUCCUGAUCCGGGGCUACUGCGUCAUGAGGGGUUACUGGAACGACCCGGACAAGACCCGCGAGUGCAUCGGAGAGGACGGCUGGUACAAAACCGGGGACAUCGGCAGCUUGGACGCGUUCGGCUACUGUCGCAUCCAAGGUCGCAUCAAGGACAUGAUCAUCAGAGGAGGCGAAAACGUCUACCCCGCCGAAAUCGAACACUUUCUACACACGCACCCUAAAAUACAGGAAGUGCAGGUGAGCGCUCCGCCGCCGUCUCGUUUAUAGCGUCGCACCGAUACGACACUAAAAUGACGCCGUCGCUAUCGUGGGGUCCUAAGAAAUCAUCUGUUCUUCUGUUUCUGCUACGAAUUGAAAUGAGUUUAUCACGAGUAGACGUCGGAUCCGUUCGAUUCAGGACGGCGGCCCUCCCGCUUCAAAUGGAUGGGACGACCGCGGCACUGAAUGAGUUGAACGGUGUCGGACCAAACAUCGAUAGCGAUGGCUUUACGGUUAAGCGACGGACGAUGUAGUCAUUUACCAGUUACAAAUGGAUAUUUUGAUAUGGAAAUGUGGUCGGCGUGUCGGACGCACGCAUGGGCGAAGAGAUUUGCGCCUGCGUCAAAGUGAAGGACGACGCCGAGUUGAGCCAGGAAGAGGUCAAGACUUUCUGCGGAGGAAAGGUU